This 850-nucleotide ribosomal RNA is filed under the name uncultured bacterium. RNAcentral describes it as "bacterial SSU rRNA". It matches the Rfam family "Bacterial small subunit ribosomal RNA", at positions 533 to 1398 of the family's 1533-position model. The record is from RNAcentral.
GGAUUGACCUGUCCGGAUUUUAUUGGCGUAAGGCUCGUAGUGGUGAUCGCGUCGAGUGUAUCUGGCCUACCUGAGCGUGCUCGAUACGGGUGACUUGAGAAGUAGGGGAGAUGAAUUCUGGUGGAGCGGUGGAAUGCGCAGAUAUCAGGAGGAACACCAGUGGCGAAGGCGGUUCUCUGGGCCUUUCCUGACGCUGAGGAGCGAAAGCGUGGGGAGCGAACAGGCUUAGAUACCCUGGUAGUCCACGCUGUAAACGGUGGGUACUAGGUGUGGGGUCCAUUCCACGGGUUCCGUGCCGUAGCUAACGCUUUAAGUACCCCGCCUGGGGAGUACGGCCGCAAGGCUAAAACUCAAAGGAAUUGACGGGGCCCCGCACAAGCGGCGGAGCAUGCGGAUUAAUUCGAUGCAACGCGUAGAACCUUACCUGGGUUUGACAUGGAUCGGGAGUGCUCAGAGAUGGGUGUGCCUCUUUUGGGGUCGGUUCACAGGUGGUGCAUGGCUGUCGUCAGCUCGUGUCGUGAGAUGUUGGGUUAAGUCCCGCAACGAGCGCAACCCUUGUUCACUGUUGCCAGCACGUUAUGGUGGGGACUCAGUGGAGACCGCCGGGGUCAACUCGGAGGGAGGUGGGGAUGACGUCAAGUCAUCAUGCCCCUUAUGUCCAGGGCUUCACGCAUGCUACAAUGGCUGGUACAGAGAGUGGCGAGCCUGUGAGGGUGAGCGAAUCUCGGAAAGCCGGUCUCAGUUCGGAUUGGGGUCUGCAACUCGACCUCAUGAAGUCGGAGUCGCUAGUAAUCGCAGAUCAGCAACGCUGCGGUGAGUACGUUCCCGGGGCUUGCACUCACCGCCCGUC